AUUGAACGCUGGCGGCAGGCCUAACACAUGCAAGUCGAACGAGCGGCGGACGGGUGAGUAAUGUCUGGGAAACUGCCCGAUGGAGGGGGAUAACUACUGGAAACGGUAGCUAAUACCGCAUACCAUCAGAUGUGCCCAGAUGGGAUUAGCUAGUAGGUGGGGUAAUUGCUCACCUAGGCGACGAUCCCGAGCUGGUCUGAGAGGAUGACCAGCCACACGGGAACUGAGACACGGUCCAGACUCCUACGGGAGGCAGCAGGGGGGAAUAUUGCACAAUGGGCGCAAGCCUGAUGCAGACAUGCCGCGUGUGUGAAGAAGGCCUUCGGGUUGUAAAGCACUUUAAGCGGGGAGGCGUUACUCGCAGAAGAAGCACCGGCUAACUCCGUGCCAGCAGCCGCGGUAAUAC
This 406-nucleotide ribosomal RNA is filed under the name uncultured bacterium. Its description in RNAcentral is "partial 16S ribosomal RNA". It matches the Rfam family "Bacterial small subunit ribosomal RNA", at positions 30 to 526 of the family's 1533-position model. The record is from RNAcentral.